CCUACGGGUGGCAGCAGUGAGGAAUAUUGCUCAAUGGGCGCGAGCCUGAUCCAGCCACGUAGCGUGAAGGAUGCCUGCCCUACGGGUUGUAAACUUCUUUUAUAAAGGAAUAAAGUGAGGCACGUGUGCCUUUUUGUAUGUACUUUAUGAAUAAGGAUCGGCGAACUCCGUGCCAGCAGCCGCGGUAAUACGGAGGAUCCGAGCGUUAUCCGGAUUUAUUGGGUUUAAAGGGGGCGUAGAUGGGUUGUUAAGUCAGUUGUGAAAGUUUGCGGCUCAACCGUAAAAUUGCAAUUGAUACUGGCAGUCUUGAGUGCGGUAGAGGUAGGCGGAAUUCGUGGUGUAGCGGUGAAAUGCUUAGAUAUCACGAAGAACACCGAUUGCGAAGGCAGCUUACUGGACUGCCACUGACAUUGAUGCACGAAAGUGUGGGUAGCAAACAGGAUUAGAUACCCGAGUAGUC
RNAcentral lists this ribosomal RNA (460 nucleotides) under uncultured bacterium. RNAcentral's name for it is "partial 16S ribosomal RNA". It matches the Rfam family "Bacterial small subunit ribosomal RNA", at positions 338 to 795 of the family's 1533-position model. The record is from RNAcentral.